This 253-nucleotide ribosomal RNA is filed under the name uncultured bacterium. RNAcentral's name for it is "partial 16S ribosomal RNA". It matches the Rfam family "Bacterial small subunit ribosomal RNA", at positions 524 to 776 of the family's 1533-position model. The record is from RNAcentral.
UACGGGGGGGGCAAGCGUUGUUCGGAAUUACUGGGCGUAAAGGGCUCGUAGGCGGCCAACUAAGUCAGACGUGAAAUCCCUCGGCUUAACCGGGGAACUGCAUCUGAUACUGGAUGGCUUGAGUUCGGGAGAGGGAUGCGGAAUUCCAGGUGUAGCGGUGAAAUGCGUAGAUAUCUGGAGGAACACCGGUGGCGAAGGCGGCAUCCUGGACCGACACUGACGCUGAUGAGCGAAAGCCAGGGGAGCAAACGGG